GAUGAACGCUGGCGGCGUGCCUAAUACAUGCAAGUCGAGCGAAUGGAUUAAGAGCUUGCUCUUAUGAAGUUAGCGGCGGACGGGUGAGUAACACGUGGGUAACCUGCCCAUAAGACUGGGAUAACUCCGGGAAACCGGGGCUAAUACCGGAUAACAUUUUGAACCGCAUGGUUCGAAAUUGAGAGGCGGCUUCGGCUGUCACUUAUGGAUGGACCCGCGUCGCAUUAGCUAGUUGGUGAGGUAACGGCUCACCAAGGCAACGAUGCGUAGCCGACCUGAGAGGGUGAUCGGCCACACUGGGACUGAGACACGGCCCAGACUCCUACGGGAGGCAGCAGUAGGGAAUCUUCCGCAAUGGACGAAAGUCUGACGGAGCAACGCCGCGUGAGCGAUGAAGGCUUUCGGGUCGUAAAACUCUGUUGUUAGGGAAGAACAAGUGCUAGUUGAAUAAGCUGGCACCUUGACGGUACCUAACCAGAAAGCCACGGCUAACUACGUGCCAGCCGCCGUAAAAC
Molecule: ribosomal RNA, 515 nt
Filed under: uncultured bacterium
Lineage: Bacteria
Description: partial 16S ribosomal RNA
Rfam family: Bacterial small subunit ribosomal RNA
Source: RNAcentral